CAGCCGCCGCGGGAAUACGUAGGGUGCGAGCGUUAAUCGGAAUUACUGGGCGUAAAGCGUGCGCAGGCGGUUGUGCAAGACAGGUGUGAAAUCCCCGGGCUUAACCUGGGAACUGCGCUUGUGACUGCACAGCUAGAGUAUGGCAGAGGGGGGUGGAAUUCCACGUGUAGCAGUGAAAUGCGUAGAGAUGUGGAGGAACACCGAUGGCGAAGGCAGCCCCCUGGGCCAAUACUGACGCUCAUGCACGAAAGCGUGGGGAGCAAACAGGAUUAGAUACCCCUGUAGUCCCUGUCUCUUAUAC
This 301-nucleotide ribosomal RNA is filed under the name uncultured bacterium. RNAcentral describes it as "partial 16S ribosomal RNA". It matches the Rfam family "Bacterial small subunit ribosomal RNA", at positions 509 to 807 of the family's 1533-position model. The record is from RNAcentral.